UCGAAAGGAACGCUAAUACCGCAUACGUCCUACGGGAGAAAGCAGGGGACCUUCGGGCCUUGCGCUAUCAGAUGAGCCUAGGUCGGAUUAGCUAGUUGGUGAGGUAAUGGCUCACCAAGGCGACGAUCCGUAACUGGUCUGAGAGGAUGAUCAGUCACACUGGAACUGAGACACGGUCCAGACUCCUACGGGAGGCAGCAGUGGGGAAUAUUGGACAAUGGGCGAAAGCCUGAUCCAGCCAUGCCGCGUGUGUGAAGAAGGUCUUCGGAUUGUAAAGCACUUUAAGUUGGGAGGAAGGGUUGUAGAUUAAUACUCUGCAAUUUUGACGUUACCGACAGAAUAAGCACCGGCUAACUCUGUGCCAGCAGCCGCGGUAAUACAGAGGGUGCAAGCGUUAAUCGGAAUUACUGGGCGUAAAGCGCGCGUAGGUGGUUUGUUAAGUUGGAUGUGAAAUCCCCGGGCUCAACCUGGGAACUGCAUCCAAAACUGGCAAGCUAGAGUAUGGUAGAGGGUGGUGGAAUUUCCUGUGUAGCGGUGAAAUGCGUAGAUAUAGGAAGGAACACCAGUGGCGAAGGCGACCACCUGGACUGAUACUGACACUGAGGUGCGAAAGCGU
Molecule: ribosomal RNA, 616 nt
Filed under: uncultured bacterium
Lineage: Bacteria
Description: bacterial SSU rRNA
Rfam family: Bacterial small subunit ribosomal RNA
Source: RNAcentral